GACGAACGCUGGCGGCGUGCUUAACACAUGCAAGUCGAACGGAAAGGCCCUGCUUUUGUUGGUUGCUCGAGUGGCGAACGGGGGAGUAACACGUGAGUAACCUGUCCUUGACUUUGGGAUAACUUCAGGAAACUGGGGCUAAUACCGGAUAGGAUCUCCUGCUGCAUGGUGGGGGUUGGAAAGUUUCGGCGGUUGGGGAUGGACUCGCGGCUUAUCAGCUUGUUUGUGGGGUAGGGGCUUACCAAGGCUUUGACGGGUAGCCGGCCUGGGAGGGGGACCGGCCACAUUGGGACUGAGAUACGGACCAGACUCCUACGUGAGGCAGCAGGGGAGAAUAUUGCAGAAUGGGCGGAAGCCUGAUACAGCAACGCCGCGUGCGGGAUGACGGCCUUCGGGUUGUAAACCGAUUUCGACUGUGCCGAAGCGUGAGUGACGGUAAUGGGUAAAGAAGCAACGGCUAACUACGUG
This 468-nucleotide ribosomal RNA is filed under the name uncultured bacterium. RNAcentral's name for it is "partial 16S ribosomal RNA". It matches the Rfam family "Bacterial small subunit ribosomal RNA", at positions 28 to 507 of the family's 1533-position model. The record is from RNAcentral.